RNAcentral lists this long non-coding RNA (948 nucleotides) under Malus domestica (apple). RNAcentral describes it as "long non-coding RNA (MDOM_LNC014580)". The record is from RNAcentral. Lineage: Eukaryota; Viridiplantae; Streptophyta; Magnoliopsida; Rosales; Rosaceae.
GAGUAGCGCGCGAGAACAAUCCCAUGAUGGGUGACGCACUGGGAAGUUCUUGUGUAAGUUCCCAUAAACAAAAACUGUGAGGGCGUAGUUGGGGCUUAAAACGGACAAUAUCGUGCUACGGUGGUGGAAAGGGCCCGGGAUGUGGUGGACCCAGGCGGGGAUGUGACAUAUAUCCACCACUUUUUCGGCCCCGUAUAGAGCCCAUCAUUUGGGAUGCUCCUAGUAUUGCUCAAACUAAGGAAUUUCAAAACGACGGAAAUAGAAAUGCCGAAUUCUAUUUUCUAAAAUUUGUGAAUUUUAUUGUUUUAUUAAUCUAAAAGAACAAUGAAAUUUGAAUACGUAAAUUUUUAAUUUUAAACUUUCACUCAUAGAAAUUUUAGAAAUGACACAUAUUUACAUGGAAUUCAAACUUCAGAAUUGGAGGUCUACCUAACAAAUUUCAAUUUUAGUUUCACGCGAAAAUUCUAAAUUUUUAUAUUUAUAAAUCCAAAUAAAAAAAUUGGUGCAUAUCAAACUUUUUCAAAAUUCUAAGUUUACAUCCCUUGUCCAAACAUAAUAUAAAACAUACCUAAUAGGUUUUAGAAAACUGAACUUCAUCGUAAAAAAAAAAAACACUUAAAAUACUAUUUUGAAUAAAGAAAACAGAACAGACACGAAUUUAAUCAAGCGGGCUAAAAUAAUGUGGGAGCUUCGCUGGUCACUCAAAUUUCCUCUCCCUCUAGUUUAAAUUAUCUCAUCGUUUUUCUUUAUAAUUUUUGAGAGAAUACACUAUGUAAGCAUACAAAAUCGAAGAAAUAUUCAUCUCCAUUAGUCCAUUGAUUAAUAGGAAUCGUAUUAAGGAAGAAACUCAUGAUUUAUUUAUAAAUAAGCAGUUUUUGGUUUGGGCCUUUGUGCUUGCUUUGUUGUUUUAAUUGAGCUCAAGUUAAAAAACUAAACUAAUAUUACCAA